UACGUAGGGGGCUAGCGUUAUCCGGAAUUAUUGGGCGUAAAGCGCGCGCAGGCGGUUUCUUAAGUCUGAUGUGAAAGCCCACGGCUCAACCGUGGAGGGUCAUUGGAAACUGGGAAACUUGAGUGCAGAAGAGGAAAGUGGAAUUCCACGUGUAGCGGUGAAAUGCGUAGAGAUGUGGAGGAACACCAGUGGCGAAGGCGACUUUCUGGUCUGUAACUGACGCUGAGGCGCGAAAAGCGUGGGGAGCAAACAGG
This 254-nucleotide ribosomal RNA is filed under the name uncultured bacterium. Its description in RNAcentral is "partial 16S ribosomal RNA". It matches the Rfam family "Bacterial small subunit ribosomal RNA", at positions 524 to 776 of the family's 1533-position model. The record is from RNAcentral.